UCAAGCCUGAAGAAGUUUAGGAAGAGUCUCUCAAGACCAAAGUGUCAUGAUUCCCCCUUGAAGCAGCGUGCUCUAAGCGCGAAUGCGUGAGCACCUGCUUUUCCGUUGUUGACCGUAGUGACAUCUGGACACGUGUGUUUUGUUUGUUUCUGUCAUGUCUCCUCCCUGUUCUGUCAUUGGCUGGGAUUUCACGUGGGUCUGUAUUGCUCUCAGCUGCUAGCGGUUUAGACGCUGAUCAUGUCCACAUAUAUACCGCGUGCCUUCCAGCACACAACGUGGAACAUUAUCGUAGAGUUAGUUUAGUUCGUAUCGUAUCGUAUCGUAUCGUAGUCGUAGUCAUAGUCAUAGUCAUAGUCACGGUCCAUGUUUAGAGUUAGUUCGCGCUGGAUUAUCCGCUCCCAGUUCCUCGUCAUAGUUCGUUUCUCGUUUUGUUUAUCGACCCUGUUUUCCGUGACCAUGACCUAGAUUCCAGCCUUGCCCCGUGUAUGCCUGUUUUCCAAUCGCCUGACCUCUUGCAUGUUUGCGGAUUACGUUUUGGAUCACGUUUUGGAUUUGUCUGCCUGUCUCUCUUUCAAAUAAACAACUGUUCAUCCUGCACUUGCAUCCGUCCUAUCUCCGCUCCGUCACGAUACGUGACACAAAGAAGGUGAGGAAGAGUUUCUCAAGACUUAAGAAGUUGAACUGAAAGGAAGUGUCUCAGGUCUGAAGAAGUUGAAGGAGAGGUUUAAAAAAUAAGGAACUGGAUGAAGUGGUUCUCAAAACUGAGGAAGUUCAAGAAGAACCUUUCAAGCCUGGGGAAGAAAAGGAAGAGUCUCUCAAGACCAAGGAAGGUGAGGAAGAUUGCUACAAAGCUGAAGAAGAGUCUCUCAAGUCUGAAGAAGUUGAGGAAGAGCGUCUUCUCUUCUCUCCACUUGGGCAGGAAAACCAUCCAUGAGCUGCAGUAAAAUGUAGCCUUAGUGUUUGUCGAUACAGUGGGGGUCAUGAUGUCUGAGUCCAGCAGCAAGAAUUGACCAUUUUACUCAACUGGCCAGAUGUGUCGUUAUCUGUAGCAUCCCUGCUGGUGCCUCUACAAAUUACACCUGCAACAUGAGGGGUCGUCAUGUGAACAUCAUUCCCGAUGUUAUCCAGGCUCUCACGCUCUGUGAAGUGGAAGUCUAUGGGGUUCCAGUGCCUGUUACUAAGAGGGCAUUUCUGAGAUUGAAGUUUAACAGCAGUGAGGAUCUUAUGAACCCUACUGUGAGGGACAAAAUUCUUCAAAAGAUGAUAUCUGCCAAUGUCCAGCCUUCAGUGCGUCAGAUCCGUUGGACUAAGGAACCAGAGGUGGAAAAAGAAACUUAAAAAACGGUGGCAGAAAUAUAUCUGAAACAACAAGAAAAAGAUGAAGUGGAAGAAGAAGAAGAAGUGUUCAAAGAACAAAAAGAAAAAAAAUCAAAUGUGUGAGGUUUGUGUGUAGCACUUGAAAAUACUAGCUAACUGAUGUUAUAGGUUUAUUAAUUAGAAGUACUAGAAGUUUUUUAGUUUAUUUGUUUGGGAAAUGUAUCUAUGAAAAAUUACCACAGGGUUUGUACAAGGUGCUUGAAUUUGGCAUUUGGAAAUAUAAGUACUGGAAGACCUUAAAUAGCCUUUUUUUAUGUAACAGUGGUUAAAAAGUGCUUGAAUGUUAUUUAUUUAUUGACUUUUUAUCAAUCACUUUAAAGGGUUUAUUUUCAAAAGAACACGAAUACAACCCUUUCACUCAAAAUAUGACUCCCCGCUGCAGCCCCUCCUCCUCCUGCUGUUCACUCAUUCAUUUUAACAGGCUUCGGACCACUUCUCAGACCCCUUUAGCAACUUUUUUUUUUUUUAAAGCACCUAGCGACAUAUCUAGAGACUUUUCAGACAAACCUUAGCUACUUUCCGUAGAAGAGAAUGGCCAGUACUGCCUGGUGAGUGCGAGGUCCUGCUUUCAGAAACAGAAAAAAUAUGUAAAUGAGAACAGCUUUAUUGGGAAUUCGGCUGUAUUAAAAUUCAGCAUGUGAGCACAGAGAGUAGGAUGUAUUAUAAAGGGCUGACUCUAGGCAGAGUGAAAAUACGAUGCAAUGGUGAAAUUAUGGUGAAAAUGAAGCAAUGACUGGGAAAUACAAAUUUAGUCCAUCACGGCUGGGAAAAGGGGCUAUAUUAAAAUGGUUGUUUAAAAAAAUAUAUAUAUUUAUUAUUAUUAUUAUUAUUAUUAUUAUUAUUAUUAUUAAUAUUUUUUUGGAAAUGAAGGAUAUGUUUGAAUGACAUCUCUUGUAUAGUCCUUGAAAGAAAAAAAGUGCUCAAAGUCCUUGAAAGUCCUGGAAUUUCAUUAUGAAGCAUCUGUACAGUACAUCUGUACUGUACCUGCUAUAUGUACUAUGCGAUUGAUGUAUUAAACAUGCCUCUUGAUUUCUGGGUUUAGCAUAGUUAUACCUCGGUUUGAGUUUAAAACAAUUGCUAGAUUUUCUGGUAGAAUAUUGCUAGUUAAGUUUCUCUCACAGAUAUUAUUGAGUAGAUAAAGUAUAUUCAGUAGCUUUUCUGGGAUAGUGAGAAUUUAGGUUAAUAUAGUAGAAAACAAAACACUCAGAUUAUCCUGGUUAUAAGAACUGCUCAUUCAUCUGUACACCUUUACAGUUUUCACUGCAGAUAUAUCAUCAGCUUUAUUGAACAAGACUCAGAAUCCUUGACACCUCCCAGCCAAUCAGUCAUCACAGUCAUGAUGAAUUUUUGUAUGGUUGGAAGCAUGUUUAAAACACAAAGUGCUGUGAUCAUGUAAGAAUGAGGUUUUACUCACUGGCAUAAAUGUGUUCACUUUAAACUUUGUUCCUUCCCUUAAACACUUACCUGCUUGAGAAUUUCCAAUGUUUGUAGAAUGAUGAUUCUCAGUACAGCACAUUGCCAAGUAUUAAUGGGCUUUAAAUUUAUUUAUUUGUGACAAUUAUGGGAUUUUCUAAUUUGUUUAAUAUGUGAACUUCUUAUCACUCCACCGUAGAAACAAAACAAAAAAAACCCAAACCACUAAAUGCUGGCUUCAUCUUCUUUUAACUUGAUUGUCAGUGCUCAACUCAAACCAACAGCAGUAUUAUUAAUAAUAUCAGGAAUGAUUGUGUCUAAAAUCAACCACUGAUUAUAUCCCACUUGUUUGUUUCUAGAUUGUAUGAUUUAUUUAGCCAAAUCUAAACUCACUUCUCCAUUUGUGUAACUGGAUACUCAGGAUAAUGAAAUUUCACUCUC
Long non-coding RNA from Ictalurus punctatus (channel catfish), 3231 nucleotides. RefSeq lists it as uncharacterized. The transcript is spliced from 5 exons. The record is from RefSeq and is a predicted model, not a curated record. NCBI's taxonomy places the organism in Eukaryota, Metazoa, Chordata, Actinopteri, Siluriformes, Ictaluridae.